This 76-nucleotide transfer RNA is filed under the name Gilliamella sp. Choc5-1. RNAcentral's name for it is "tRNA-Pro". It matches the Rfam family "tRNA". Rfam says of the family: Transfer RNA (tRNA) molecules are approximately 80 nucleotides in length. Their secondary structure includes four short double-helical elements and three loops (D, anti-codon, and T loops). The record is from RNAcentral. Lineage: Bacteria; Pseudomonadati; Pseudomonadota; Gammaproteobacteria; Orbales; Orbaceae.
UUUUGAAUAGUUCAUCAGGUAGAACAAUCGACAAGGAAUCGAUAUGUGGUAGGUUCGAGUCCUACUUCAAAAACCA